RNAcentral lists this ribosomal RNA (500 nucleotides) under uncultured bacterium. RNAcentral describes it as "bacterial SSU rRNA". It matches the Rfam family "Bacterial small subunit ribosomal RNA", at positions 8 to 525 of the family's 1533-position model. The record is from RNAcentral.
AGAGUUUGAUCCUGGCUCAGAUUGAACGCUGGCGGCAGGCUUAACACAUGCAAGUCGAGCGGAGAUGAGGUGCUUGCACCUUAUCUUAGCGGCGGACGGGUGAGUAAUGCUUAGGAAUCUGCCUAUUAGUGGGGGACAACAUUUCGAAAGGAAUGCUAAUACCGCAUACGCCCUACGGGGGAAAGCAGGGGAUCUUCGGACCUUGCGCUAAUAGAUGAGCCUAAGUCGGAUUAGCUAGUUGGCAGGGUAACGGCCUACCAAGGCAAAGAUGGGUAGGGGGUGUGAGAGCAUGACCCGCCACACUGGGACUGAGACACGGUCCAGACUCCUACGGGAGGCAGCAGUGGGGAAUAUUGGGCAAUGGGCGCAAGCCUGACCCAGCAACGCCGCGUGAGGGAAGAAGGUUUUCGGAUUGUAAACCUCUGUCGCAGAUGACGAAAAAAAUGACGGUAAUCUGUGAGGAAGCCCCGGCUAACUACGUGCCAGCAGCCGCGGUAAUA